This 409-nucleotide ribosomal RNA is filed under the name bacterium enrichment culture clone ALO1_GLFRUDD03HIJ2G. Its description in RNAcentral is "bacterial SSU rRNA". It matches the Rfam family "Bacterial small subunit ribosomal RNA", at positions 9 to 419 of the family's 1533-position model. The record is from RNAcentral.
GAGUUUGAUCCUGGCUCAGAUUGAACGCUGGCGGCAUGCCUUACACAUGCAAGUCGAACGGCAGCACGGGAGCUUGCUCCUGGUGGCGAGUGGCGAACGGGCGAGUAAUGCAUCGGAACGUAUCCUGGAGUGGGGGAUAACGUAGCGAAAGUUACGCUAAUACCGCAUAUUCUGUGAGCAGGAAAGCGGGGGACCUUCGGGCCUCGCGCUCUUGGAGCGGCCGAUGUCGGAUUAGCUAGUUGGUGAGGUAAAGGCUCACCAAGGCGACGAUCCGUAGCAGGUCUGAGAGGAUGAUCUGCCACACUGGAACUGAGACACGGUCCAGACUCCUACGGGAGGCAGCAGUGGGAGUUUUGGACAAUGGGGGCAACCCUGAUCCAGCCAUGCCGCGUGAGUGAAGAAGGCCUUC